This 86-nucleotide ribosomal RNA is filed under the name Tropidurus semitaeniatus (striped lava lizard). Its description in RNAcentral is "partial 16S large subunit ribosomal RNA". The record is from RNAcentral. Lineage: Eukaryota; Metazoa; Chordata; Lepidosauria; Squamata; Tropiduridae.
UUUGAAACCCUAGCUCAACCACCCCCUCUAACAAACCAAAAACUAAAACAAACCAUUUGAUACCACUAGUAAAGGAGAUUGAACAU